UUUUAUUUGAGAGUUUGAUCCUGGCUCAGGAUGAACGCUGGCGGCGUGCCUAACACAUGCAAGUUGAGCGAUUUACUUCGGUAAAGAGCGGCGGACGGGGGAGUAACGCGUGGGUAACCUACCCUGUACACACGGAUAACAUACCGAAAGGUAUGCUAAUACGGGAUAAUAUAUUUGAGAGGCAUCUCUUGAAUAUCAAAGG
Molecule: ribosomal RNA, 202 nt
Filed under: Clostridioides difficile
Lineage: Bacteria; Bacillati; Bacillota; Clostridia; Peptostreptococcales; Peptostreptococcaceae
Description: partial 16S ribosomal RNA
Rfam family: Bacterial small subunit ribosomal RNA
Source: RNAcentral